GGGUAACCUGCCCUAUGCUGGAUAAUAACCUCGGGAGACUGAGAAUAAUGAUCCAUAGUUCACUACGCCUGGAACGGUGAGUGGAUGAAAGCUCCGGCGGCAUAGGAUGGGCCUGCGGCGUAUCAGGUUGUAGGGGGUGUAACGUACCCUCUAGCCCUCUACGCGUACGGGUGUUGGGAGACAUAGCCCGGAGAUGGAUUCUGAGACACGAAUCCAGACCCUACGGGGUGCAGCAGGCGCGAAAACUUGGCAAUGCGAGAAAUCGUGACCAGGGAACUCCAAGUGCAUCGGGUAAGACCGGUGCUUUUCUUGACUCUAAAUAGGUCUUGGAAUAAGGGGUGGGUAAGGACGGUGCCAGCCGCCGCGGUAAUACCGGCGCCUCAAGUGGUAGUCGCUUUUAUUGGGCCUAAAACGUCCGUAGCCGGUCUGAUACAUUCGUGGGUAAAUCAACCAGCUCAACUGGUUGAAUUCUGCGAGGACGGUCAGACUUGGGACCGGGAGAGGUGUGGGGUACGCUCAGGGUAGGGGUAAAAUCCUGUCAUCCUGAGCGGACCACCUGUUGCGAAGGCGCCACACUAGAACGGAUCCGACGGUCAGGGACGAAGCCUAGGGGCACGAACCGGAUUAGAUACCCGGGUAGUCCUAGGUGUAAACGCUGUGGACUUGAUGUUGGGGGUGCUCCGAGCACUCUCAGUGUCGAAGCGAAGGUGAUAAGUCCACUGCCUGGGAAGUACGGUCGCAAGGCUGAAACUU
RNAcentral lists this ribosomal RNA (753 nucleotides) under uncultured Candidatus Poseidoniales archaeon. RNAcentral describes it as "bacterial SSU rRNA". It matches the Rfam family "Archaeal small subunit ribosomal RNA", at positions 102 to 857 of the family's 1478-position model. Lineage: Archaea; Methanobacteriati; Thermoplasmatota; Candidatus Poseidoniia; Candidatus Poseidoniales. The record is from RNAcentral.